GUACUCAAAGGGUAAAACUAUGUCGUUUUAAUAUAAAAAAUUACGUCUAAGAUCUUCUUUAUGUUUAUUUCAAGUUCCACCAUGUUACUUGAGCGAUACUGCGUUUGCCGCGGGCAUUCUACCCUUGGAGCAAAGUACUGUGACACCGCAAAAUACUCAGUACCUGGUGUACGCCCAUAAUCCGGGCGGAUUCGAUUUCAAAAGUUCCGGAGCCGUGAACGCCGAGAACACGUGCGGCGACUCCGUGUCCACCGUCAGAGAGACGCUGAUUGUGAACAUCAUCAGUACGUGACGUCGCCGAGGACGUCAGCGGAACGUUGACGUUAAAGACGUUGGAUUUUGUUACUUUCGAUAAGUCUGAUGCCACCUGCUCAAUGACGAGCGCUGACGGAGGACCAUUCGCCGUCACUGGAAGCCUCUUUAUUAAAAAUCCAGUUCAGGUGGACAGUGUCGUCCCUGAUAAGCCUGUGGGAACUGCAUAGGCUGAUCUGAAAUGACGCUUUAGCACGUGCAUUAAGUCCAGUUUUCGCAGAAUGAGACGUAUAUAAGCUCACGCACAGACGUCUUUCAGGCAACCAAAUCGUAAAGACGGCUGGAGCUCUGGACUUUGAGACAAAGGCAACGUAUAAUCUUGCCGUCACGUGCACUGACGACCUUCUUCA
This is a long non-coding RNA of Dreissena polymorpha, 662 nucleotides long. RefSeq lists it as uncharacterized. The transcript is spliced from 4 exons. NCBI's taxonomy places the organism in Eukaryota, Metazoa, Mollusca, Bivalvia, Myida, Dreissenidae. The record is from RefSeq and is a predicted model, not a curated record.